Molecule: ribosomal RNA, 938 nt
Filed under: uncultured archaeon
Lineage: Archaea
Description: bacterial SSU rRNA
Rfam family: Archaeal small subunit ribosomal RNA
Source: RNAcentral
CCCUCUAGGUGGCCUUCUUGAAGCGGCCGCCCGUGUGAUGGAUAUUUCCAGAAUUUGGCCCUUCUCCGGGUUGAUUCCCGCCGGCGGGGCACCGGUAUUGGAGUUCGCUUAAGCCAUGCUAGUCGAGAGGGGUAAGCCCUCGGCGCACUGCUCAGUAACACGCGGACAAUCUGCCCUCGAGACGGGGAUAAUCCCGGGAAACUGGGGAUAAUACCCGAUAGGUCUGGGAUGAUGGAAGGCUCUCAGGUCGAAAUCCUGCGGGGCUCGAGGAUGGGUCUGCGGCCUAUCAGGUCGUAGGGGGUGUCACGGACCCCCUAGCCGAAGACGGGUACGGGCUUUGGGAGAAGUCGCCCGGAGAUGGAUUCUGAGACACGAAUCCAGGUCCUACGGGACGCAGCAGGCGCGAAACCUCCACAAUGUGGGAAACCACGAUGGGGGAACUCCAAGUGCCUACACUAUGUGUAGGCUGUUCUCGAGCCUAAAAAGCUCGAGAAGUAAGGGCCGGGUAAGACGGGUGCCAGCCGCCGCGGUAAUACCCGCGGCCCGAGUGGUGCUCAUUAUUAUUGAGCCUAAAGCGUCCGUAGCUGGCCGGGCAAAUCUCCGGGUAAAUCGGGCGGCCCAACCGUCCGAAUUCCGGAGACACUGCUCGGCUUGAGAUCGGGAGAGGGAGAAGGUACUCCUGGGGUAGGGGUAAAAUCCUGUAAUCCGAGGGGGACCACCGGUGGCGAAGGCGUUCUCCUAGAACGAAUCUGACAGUGAGGGACGAAGCCCUAGGGCGCAAACGGGAUUAGAUACCCCGGUAGUCUAGGGUGUAAACGCUGCAGACUUGGUGUUGGGGGUCCUGCGUGGGCUUCCAGUGCCGGAGUGAAGAUGUUAAGUCUGCCACUUGGGGAGUACGGUCGCAAGACUGAAACUUACAGGAAUUGGCGGGGGAAGCA